This 767-nucleotide ribosomal RNA is filed under the name uncultured marine bacterium. RNAcentral's name for it is "bacterial SSU rRNA". It matches the Rfam family "Bacterial small subunit ribosomal RNA", at positions 69 to 829 of the family's 1533-position model. The record is from RNAcentral.
GUAACAUGGAUUGCUUGCAAUCUGAUGACGAGUGGCGCACGGGUGCGUAACGCGUAUGCAAUCUACCUUUUACAGGAGAAUAGCCCAGAGAAAUUUGGAAUAAUGCUCCAUAAUAUCAUUUACCAGCAUUGGUUUAUGAUUAAAGCUCCGGCGGUAAAAGAUGAGCAUGCGUUCUAUUAGCUAGUAGGUGAGGUAACGGCUCACCUAGGCUACGAUAGAUAGGGGCCCUGAGAGGGGGAUCCCCCACACUGGUACUGAGACACGGACCAGACUCCUACGGGAGGCAGCAGUGAGGAAUAUUGGACAAUGGAGGAAACUCUGAUCCAGCCAUGCCGCGUGCAGGAUGACUGCCCUAUGGGUUGUAAACUGCUUUUAUAUAGGAAGAAACACUCCCACGUGUGGGGGCUUGACGGUACUAUAUGAAUAAGGAUCGGCUAACUCCGUGCCAGCAGCCGCGGUAAUACGGAGGAUCCAAGCGUUAUCCGGAAUCAUUGGGUUUAAAGGGUCCGCAGGCGGCCUGUUAAGUCAGAGGUGAAAUCCUACAGCUCAACUGUAGAACUGCCUUUGAUACUGAUAGGCUUGAGUUAUUGUGAAGUGGUUAGAAUGUGUGGUGUAGCGGUGAAAUGCUUAGAUAUCACACAGAAUACCCAUUGCGAAGGCAGAUCACUAACAAUAUACUGACGCUCAUGGACGAAAGCGUGGGGAGCGAACGGGAUUAGAUACCCCGAUAGUCCACGCCGUAAACGAUGGAUACUAACUGUUCGACC